GCGCGGGUGGCGGAAUGGUAGACGCGCUAGCUUGAGGUGCUAGUGCCCGAAUAGGGCGUGCGGGUUCAAGUCCCGCUCCGCGCA
This 84-nucleotide transfer RNA is filed under the name Microbacterium suwonense. RNAcentral's name for it is "tRNA-Leu". It matches the Rfam family "tRNA". From Rfam's summary of the family: Transfer RNA (tRNA) molecules are approximately 80 nucleotides in length. Their secondary structure includes four short double-helical elements and three loops (D, anti-codon, and T loops). Further hydrogen bonds mediate the characteristic L-shaped molecular structure. tRNAs have two regions of fundamental functional importance: the anti-codon, which is responsible for specific mRNA codon recognition, and the 3' end, to which the tRNAs corresponding amino acid is attached (by aminoacyl-tRNA synthetases). tRNAs cope with the degeneracy of the genetic code in two manners: having more than one tRNA (with a specific anti-codon) for a particular amino acid; and 'wobble' base-pairing, i.e. permitting non-standard base-pairing at the 3rd anti-codon position. Lineage: Bacteria; Bacillati; Actinomycetota; Actinomycetes; Micrococcales; Microbacteriaceae. RNAcentral also lists the same sequence under 2 other names. The record is from RNAcentral.